UUUCGCAAUGCCCGAAAGGGUGACGAAGCGACGCCGCGUGGGUGAGGAAGGCCUUCGGGUUGUAAAACCCUGUCAGGAGUUAAGAAAUGUAAGUUCGUUAAUACCGUACUUAUAUGACAAAGGCUCCAAAGGAAGCCACGGCUAACUCUGUGCCAGCAGCCGCGGUAAUACAGAGGUGGCGAGCGUUGUUCGGAAUUAUUGGGCGUAAAGAGCACGUAGGUGGGUUUGCAAGUCAGAUGUGAAAGCCUUCUGUUCAACGGAAGAAUUGCAUCUGAAACUGUUAAUCUUGAGUAUAGGAGGGGAGAAUGGAACUUCUGGUGGAGCGGUGAAAUGCGUAGAUAUCAGAAGGAACGCCAGCGGCGAAAGCGAUUCUCUGGCCUACAACUGACACUGAGUGUGCGAAAGCUAGGGGAGCAAACGGGAUUAGAUACCCCGGUAGUCCUAGCCGUAAACGAUGGGCACUAAGUAGAGGGGUUUUA
RNAcentral lists this ribosomal RNA (479 nucleotides) under uncultured bacterium. RNAcentral's name for it is "bacterial SSU rRNA". It matches the Rfam family "Bacterial small subunit ribosomal RNA", at positions 364 to 833 of the family's 1533-position model. The record is from RNAcentral.